RNAcentral lists this ribosomal RNA (497 nucleotides) under uncultured bacterium. RNAcentral describes it as "partial 16S ribosomal RNA". It matches the Rfam family "Bacterial small subunit ribosomal RNA", at positions 28 to 507 of the family's 1533-position model. The record is from RNAcentral.
GAUGAACGCUGGCGGCGUGCCUAAUACAUGCAAGUCGAGCGAACAGACGAGGAGCUUGCUCCUCUGACGUUAGCGGCGGACCGGUGAGUAACACGUGGAUAACCUACCUAUAAGACUGGGAUAACUUCGGGAAACCGGAGCUAAUACCGGAUAAUAUAUUGAACCGCAUGGUUCAAUAGUGAAAGACGGUUUUGCUGUCACUUAUAGAUGGAUCCGCGCCGCAUUAGCUAGUUGGUAAGGUAACGGCUUACCAAGGCGACGAUGCGUAGCCGACCUGAGAGGGUGAUCGGCCACACUGGAACUGAGACACGGUCCAGACUCCUACGGGAGGCAGCAGUAGGGAAUCUUCCGCAAUGGGCGAAAGCCUGACGGAGCAACGCCGCGUGAGUGAUGAAGGUCUUCGGAUCGUAAAACUCUGUUAUUAGGGAAGAACAAAUGUGUAAGUAACUAUGCACGUCUUGACGGUACCUAAUCAGAAAGCCACGGCUAACUACGUG